AGUGAACGCUGGCGGUAGGCCUAACACAUGCAAGUCGAACGGCAGCACAGUAAGAGCUUGCUCUUACGGGUGGCGAGUGGCGGACGGGUGAGGAAUACAUCGGAAUCUACUUUUUCGUGGGGGAUAACGUAGGGAAACUUACGCUAAUACCGCAUACGACCUACGGGUGAGAUCAGGGGAUCUUCGGACCUUGCGCGAUUGAAUGAGCCGAUGUCGGAUUAGCUAGUUGGCGGGGUAAAGGCCCACCAAGGCGACGAUCCGUAGCUGGUCUGAGAGGAUGAUCAGCCACACUGGAACUGAGACACGGUCCAGACUCCUACGGGAGGCAGCAGUGGGGAAUAUUGGACAAUGGGCGCAAGCCUGAUCCAGCCAUACCGCGUGGGUGAAGAAGGCCUUCGGGUUGUAAAGCCCUUUUGUUGGGAAAGAAAAGCAGCAGGUUAAUACCCCGAUGUUCUGACGGUACCCAAAGAAUAAGCACCGGCUAACUUCGUG
This 492-nucleotide ribosomal RNA is filed under the name uncultured bacterium. Its description in RNAcentral is "partial 16S ribosomal RNA". It matches the Rfam family "Bacterial small subunit ribosomal RNA", at positions 29 to 507 of the family's 1533-position model. The record is from RNAcentral.